This 437-nucleotide ribosomal RNA is filed under the name uncultured bacterium. RNAcentral describes it as "partial 16S ribosomal RNA". It matches the Rfam family "Bacterial small subunit ribosomal RNA", at positions 29 to 507 of the family's 1533-position model. The record is from RNAcentral.
AGCGAACGCUGGCGGCAGGCUUAACACAUGCAAGUCGAGCGGGCAUCCUUGUGGUGUCAGCGGCAGACGGGUGAGUAACGCGUGGGAACGUGCCCUUCGGUUCGGAAUAACUCAGGGAAACUUGAGCUAAUACCGGAUACGUGCGAGAGCAGAAAGGUUUAUCUGCCGAAGGAUCGGCCCGCGUCUGAUUUGCUAGUUGGUGAGGUUACGGCUCACCAAGGCGACGAUCAGUAGCUGGUCUGAGAGGAUGAUCAGCCACACUGGGACUGAGACACGGCCCAGACUCCUACGGGAGGCAGCAGUGGGGAAUAUUGGACAAUGGGGGCAACCCUGAUCCAGCCAUGCCGCGUGAGUGAUGACGGCCUUAGGGUUGUAAAGCUCUUUUCUCCGGGACGAUAAUGACGGUACCGGAGGAAUAAGCCCCGGCUAACUUCGUG